This 253-nucleotide ribosomal RNA is filed under the name uncultured bacterium. RNAcentral describes it as "partial 16S ribosomal RNA". It matches the Rfam family "Bacterial small subunit ribosomal RNA", at positions 524 to 776 of the family's 1533-position model. The record is from RNAcentral.
UACGGGGGGGGCAAGCGUUGUUCGGAAUUACUGGGCGUAAAGGGCUCGUAGGCGGCCAACUAAGUCAUACGUGAAAUCCCUCAGCUUAACUGGGGAACUGCGUCUGAUACUGGAAAGCUUGAGUGCAGGAGAGGAACGCGGAAUUCCAGGUGUAGCGGUGAAAUGCGUAGAUAUCUGGAGGAACACCGGUGGCGAAGGCGGCGUUCUGGACUGCAACUGACGCUGAGGAACGAAAGCCAGGGGAGCAAACGGG